GACGAACGCUGGCGGCGUGCUUAACACAUGCAAGUCGAACGGAGAGGCCCGGCUUUUGUGGGGUGCUCGAGUGGCGAACGGGUGAGUAACACGUGAGUAACCUGCCCUUGACUUGGGGAUAACUUCAGGAAACUGGGGCUAAUACCGGAUAGGAGCUCCUGCUGCAUGGUGGGGGUUGGAAAGUUUCGGCGGUUGGGGAUGGACUCGCGGCUUAUCAGCUUGUUGGUGGGGUAGUGGCUUACCAAGGCUUUGACGGGUAGCCGGCCUGAGAGGGUGACCGGCCACAUUGGGACUGAGAUACGGGCCAGACUCCUACGGGAGGCAGAAGUGGGGAAUAUUGCACAAUGGGCGGAAGCCUGAUGCAGCAACGCCGCGUGCGGGAUGACGGCCUUCGGGUUAUAACCCGCUUUCGCCUGUGACGAAGAGUGAGUGACGGUAAUGGGUAAAGAAGCACCGGCUAACUACGUG
Molecule: ribosomal RNA, 468 nt
Filed under: uncultured bacterium
Lineage: Bacteria
Description: partial 16S ribosomal RNA
Rfam family: Bacterial small subunit ribosomal RNA
Source: RNAcentral